RNAcentral lists this ribosomal RNA (452 nucleotides) under uncultured bacterium. RNAcentral's name for it is "bacterial SSU rRNA". It matches the Rfam family "Bacterial small subunit ribosomal RNA", at positions 29 to 524 of the family's 1533-position model. The record is from RNAcentral.
AACGAACGCUGGCGGCAGGCUUAACACAUGCAAGUCGAACGGUUGUAGCAAUACAGCAGUGGCGCACGGGUGAGUAACGCGUGGAUAUCUGCCUUUUGGUUCGGAAUAACUCCGGGAAACUGGAGCUAAUACCGGAUGGUUCCUGCGGGAUAAAGAUUUAUCGCCAAAAGAUGAGUCCGCGUACGAUUAGCUAGUUGGUGAGGUAAUGGCUCACCAAGGCGACGAUCGUUAGCUGGUCUGAGAGGACGAUCAGCCACACUGGGACUGAGACACGGCCCAGACUCCUACGGGAGGCAGCAGUGGGGAAUAUUGGACAAUGGGGGCAACCCUGAUCCAGCCAUGCCGCGUGAGUGAUGAAGGCCUUCGGGUUGUAAAGCUCUUUGGUCGGGACGAGUGAUGACGGUACCCGCAGAAUAAGCCCCGGCUAACUUCGUGCCAGCAGCCGCGGUAAU